UCUCCGUAGGUGAACCUGCGGAGGGAUCAUUACAGAGUUCAUGCCCUACCGGGUAGAUCUCCCACCCUAUGUUAUUAUUACUUUGUUGCUUUGGCGGGCCGUUAGGCUCCGGCCCGACUACCGGCCCCGGCUGGUAAGCGCCCGCCAGAGGACCCAAAACCCUGAAUAUUAGUGUCGUCUGAGUACCAUAUAAUAGUUAAAACUUUCAACAACGGAUCUCUUGGUUCUG
Molecule: unclassified non-coding RNA, 229 nt
Filed under: plant metagenome
Description: partial contains small subunit ribosomal RNA, internal transcribed spacer 1, and 5.8S ribosomal RNA
Source: RNAcentral